AAAUUGAAGAGUUUGAUCAUGGCUCAGAUUGAACGCUGGCGGCAGGCCUAACACAUGCAAGUCGAACGGUAACAGGAAGAAGCUUGCUUCUUUGCUGACGAGUGGCGGACGGGUGAGUAAUGUCUGGGAAACUGCCUGAUGGAGGGGGAUAACUACUGGAAACGGUAGCUAAUACCGCAUAACGUCGCAAGACCAAAGAGGGGGACCUUCGGGCCUCUUGCCAUCGGAUGUGCCCAGAUGGGAUUAGCUAGUAGGUGGGGUAACGGCUCACCUAGGCGACGAUCCCUAGCUGGUCUGAGAGGAUGACCAGCCACACUGGAACUGAGACACGGUCCAGACUCCUACGGGAGGCAGCAGUGGGGAAUAUUGCACAAUGGGCGCAAGCCUGAUGCAGCCAUGCCGCGUGUAUGAAGAAGGCCUUCGGGUUGUAAA
Molecule: ribosomal RNA, 432 nt
Filed under: Escherichia coli
Lineage: Bacteria; Pseudomonadati; Pseudomonadota; Gammaproteobacteria; Enterobacterales; Enterobacteriaceae
Description: bacterial SSU rRNA
Rfam family: Bacterial small subunit ribosomal RNA
Source: RNAcentral